Long non-coding RNA from Mya arenaria, 4037 nucleotides. RefSeq lists it as uncharacterized. Lineage: Eukaryota; Metazoa; Mollusca; Bivalvia; Myida; Myidae. The transcript has 4 exons. The record is from RefSeq and is a predicted model, not a curated record.
UUGACAGGAGUCUAGCCAAAGAGCUUCAGCGAACACGUUAUAUAUUACCUUUUUGGACGUUUAAUGUGUUGUAAACAUCAAAAAAUAAAUAUCAAUAUUAAAGUUAUGGAAGCCAGAACUAACAGGAGUCCUACACACGCUGUCACAGAAAAAAACAAGGACUAUGAAUGCGACUGACUCUAACGUCUAUGUGUAUAAUGAAUUCCGUCAAUGAAGCCUUUGAAAAAAGAGGGCCAUACCCCAGUCUUUGCCUGUGCGAAUGUGGUGUACCACAGGAGGUCAGAUGGCAUUACAUGAUGGAAUAACAUUUCUUACCAAAUUCAGCAGGUCAAAAGUGCUCUUUACCAUCCACAGACAGUAUUUGGCAGACUAGGAACAAGAAAUUCGGUUUGGUUGUGCAUGAACAGCAAAUGCAUCCAGUGCUGGUUUGUUAACAUGCAGGGGCUGCCACUGUCUUCCUUAAGGAUAACAAGGAUGUCAGUUUCCUGCAAAAUAAUCCAGGAAGAACCCCAGGUCUUACUGUUCAAGACGCAAUGAGGUUGUGACCAUCAGGCUCAAAGCUGUGGAGAAAGAUGUCUGGCUGUGAGACAUACUGAUGUUAUGCUUUACUGAUGUUGUUGCCAACAACUACAAACCAUUCACUAUAACUACCACAGCGAACAAUGUACUGAUAAUGCAGAAAAUCUGAGCUACCUUUGUGAAAGAGGCCAAGAGAGGAUUUGAUGGUGGAGUUUCAGAUGACACAAUGCUGACUGUUUCCACCCAGCUGAUUUUGCUUCCUACAGGCAACAGAAGGAAGUCUUCACUUUUAUUUUAAACAAUUCAGUUUUAAUGCCACCAAUUUGUCAAGAUAACAUGUAACUGAACAGAUUGAAAUUACACCAACUUCCUUCAUUAACACAAACUAUCUGUGUACCUGGACCAUCAGCUUGAACAGUAUACUACUUCAACUACCAUUUCCUCAUAUUCAAACAUUACUAGAAAGGUCUGAAAGGCAAUCAUACUAAAUGAAGAAUGAUAAACUCCUCUGUUAUAAAUUCUGCUGCAACUUGAGAUGACCAGUAUGUACAGACAGUGCCAAAUUUAUUGCAUUUAUUACUUGUGUCUUAUCUGACAGUGCUUUAUGCAUAGAUAUUGUACUUGAAGUUAACUAUGAUUUUAUUAAGAUGCGAUUUUUCACUCUGUAUUGAUGUUCACAUACUUCAAUUUCUGUUGCCAUACCAGUGUCACUAACAGAUAGUCUAGAUGAAUUUGUUUUUAUUUAUUUCUACCACUGUUGUCUAUGAACAUUUUCAUAUCAUAUAGUUAGUACACUUCAUUAUAUACAGGGCAGUCAAUGUCUUAUUUCAGAUAACAACUCAGCAAUAAGCCUCUUGACAUUUCUGCUUUGAAUUGUCUAUAUAUUUUUCAUUUCUUUUUAAGUUUGAAGUCUAAUCACUGUUAAAAAACAGGCUCAUCUUAUGGCUGCCUAGAAAUAUCUUCCAAAUUGAUAAUUAAUUAAAAUAACAAUAACCUAAUGCCCUUAUGGAAACAUAUUCCAAACAUUCCUUAACAGCUAUGAAAUUAUUUUUGGACAAACCUUUUUGCAGUUUACAGAUUUUUCCCCAACCAAAUGCACUGCUUAACCUAUAAAUAAGUGAUUUUUAGCUCGACUAUUCGAAGAAUAGGUGGGCUAUACUACUCGCUCCAGCGUCGGUGUCCGGUUAAAGUUUUAGGGCAAGUUGGGAUUUUCAUUUUUAAGUCCAAUACCCUACAUUCAAUUGACUUAAUACUUCACGAAGUUGUUCAGGGCCAUCACAUGAUGAGGUUAGUUAACUCCAUAUUAUUCUUUAAACAGAUUAAGGCCCCUGAUUGACUAUGGAACUUAGGUUAAAGUUUUAGGGCAAGUUGGAAUAUUUAUUAAUAACUUCUAUAUCCUUUGUUCAAAUGACUUAAUACUUCACACAGUUCUUCAGGACCAUCACACAAUGAGGUUACAUAACUCCAUAUUAUCCUAAAUACAAGUUAUGGUCUCUGAUUGACUUAGGUAAAAGUUUAAGGGCAGGUUAAGUUUUAGGGCAAGUUGGGAUUUUCACUGAAAACUCCAAUACCAUUCAUUCAAUUGACUUAAUACUUCACACAGUUGUUCAGAGCCAUCACAUAAUGAGGUAAGAUAACUCCAUAUUAUUCUUUACACAGAUUAUGGCCCCUGAUUGACUAUGGAACUUAGGUUAAAGUUUUUGGGCAGGUUGGGAUAUUGUUUAAUAACUUCUAUACCCUUCAUGCAAUUGACUUAAUACUUCACACAAUUGUUCAGGACCAUCACCCAAUGAGGUAACAUAACUCCAUAUCCUAAAUACAAGUUAUGGCCCCUGAUUGACUUAGGUUAAAGUUUAAGGCAAGUAAAAGUUAAGGGCAAGUUGGGAUUUUAAUAAAAAAACUUCUAUGCACUUAAUAAAAUUCAAAAUUAUUCACGACCAUCUUACAACAAGAAACAUAACUCCAUUUUAAGCCUUAAUACAAAUUAUGGCCCUUGAUUUUUUUUUGAUUUUUGUUUAAUUUCCUUCUUAACCACAUUUUCAUAAUGGGAAAUCAAGUUAUUUAAAUGACUUGCGUCAUUGUUUGGGCGGGCUGGUGGGAGGGCAGCAUCAAAGUCAACUUAUGUAUCGAAUAAUUUCAGUUAGGUUUGACAUAAAGAGACCAAACUUGGUAUUAUUACAUCGUUAUUGUAUUCUAGGUCAAAGCGGCAUAGUCGAGCGCGCUGUCUUACGACGGCUCUUGUUGACAUAUUGUAAUCAUUUUCACUCAUUGCAUAUUUUUUCUGCUACAAUAUUAUAGCGUUUUCAUGUGUAUCAUUUAGAUUCAUUGUUUUCACAUUAUUACUUCACUCAUGAUUCAGUGCUUAUCUCAUUUUAUGUAAAUUUCUUUUUGUUCAAUUGUAAAUAAUGACAAAUGCUGCUCAAAAGAGUGUGAUAAUGGAUAUACUCUUCUUGUCAUUCAUGUUAUUUGAUAAUUGUCAGCUGCGUCAUCUUCCAUGAAUUGCAUUACUUUCACUUUGCCUCAGAUUUAAUAGUAUGUGUGGUGGUUUUAUGUUGUUGCUUUUAGAACAGGGGUUAUUUUGAUAAGCCAAAUAUCCUGUACAUUAUCAUUUCGCCAAAGUAGUUCAUUAUAGAUUCAUAUAUCACUAUAACACUACAGACUGGUUAAUUGUAAUGGUAAACAAUUUUUCAAUUAUUUUAAAAGAAAUCCAUCCAUUGAUAUAGCCUUCAUAUUACACCAUUGUUUCCUAGUGCUUUACCUUGCAUUUUUGUCAUUCAGGCAUGGUUGAAAUACAUUUCAAGGGACUAGACACCAGAUGAUACCAUUGCAAGAUGAAAAAUAACUGUCCAAAACUUGUGUCAUUCAUAUCUUAUUGUACAUUUUAAUUGAGUUUUUGGACCGAGUAAAUUCCAUUUAUUUAAAAAAAAGCUUCUGAGUGUGUCUUGUAAAAAUCACAGGACCCCUACAUGCUAUUCUUUAGUGUAUACACAUUGCUGAGACAGGGAUAGAAAUAUUUAUUUUUUCAUUUACAAUAUUGCAUUUUUUUUUACCUCAUACUAGCCCUAACUCAUAAGUUCAGUCUGUUGGAAAAAUUGAACUUACUGAUUUUGGUACUUUUGGUUCACCCCCAAUUGAUCUUAUAAACCCUGGUAUAAUAUUGAUAAUUAUGGAGAAAUAAAGACAUACUUUGUAAGUAAUAUUAAUUGGAAUCAACUACAGACCUAUUCAGAUUAUGAAAUAAAAUACUGCAUAAUAACUUUUAUUUAAUCAUAGACCAACUAUAAAAACGCACAAAAGAGAAUGUUUCCUUUUCAUAUAUCUUGUUCUUUUUUCUGAAAUUAAACUGCUGGUUUAAGGCAUUGGUCUAAGACAGGUGUUGUUGACUGUUGAUAUGUAAAUUUAACCAGCUACGAUAACAACAUCAUAUGCAUACACCACUGUCAGCAUUUUAACUGCUACAGCUAAUGAAGAACCUCCAAUAGCUAUACUCUUAUAUUAGCUGCCAUUUAUAAAUCAUA